AUUGAACGCUGGCGGCAUGCCUUACACAUGCAAGUCGAACGGUAACAGGUUAAGCUGACGAGUGGCGAACGGGUGAGUAAUGUAUCGGAACGUGCCCAGUCGUGGGGGAUAACUGCUCGAAAGAGCAGCUAAUACCGCAUACGACCUGAGGGUGAAAGCGGGGGAUCGCAAGACCUCGCGCGAUUGGAGCGGCCGAUAUCAGAUUAGGUAGUUGGUGAGGUAAGGGCUCACCAAGCCGACGAUCUGUAGCUGGUCUGAGAGGACGACCAGCCACACUGGGACUGAGACACGGCCCAGACUCCUACGGGAGGCAGCAGUGGGGAAUUUUGGACAAAGGGCGCAAGCCUGAUCCAGCCAUGCCGCGUGCGGGAAGAAGGCCUUCGGGUUGUAAACCGCUUUUGUCAGGGAAGAAAAGGUUCUGGCUAAUACCUGGGACUCAUGACGGUACCUGAAGAAUAAGCACCGGCUAACUACGUG
Molecule: ribosomal RNA, 477 nt
Filed under: uncultured bacterium
Lineage: Bacteria
Description: partial 16S ribosomal RNA
Rfam family: Bacterial small subunit ribosomal RNA
Source: RNAcentral